Magallana angulata is the source of this 839-nucleotide long non-coding RNA. RefSeq lists it as uncharacterized. The record is from RefSeq and is a predicted model, not a curated record. The transcript has 3 exons. NCBI's taxonomy places the organism in Eukaryota, Metazoa, Mollusca, Bivalvia, Ostreida, Ostreidae.
UGUAUCAUCAAUUUUAUAAAAGUAACACCUUUCAUUAUUCAUUAGUUUCAAUUUCAGACCAAUGAUGUGUGGUUAAGUUCCCGGGUCAUUGUGAUCGAUUCUACCCCUAGAGGGCCUAGAUUUCGCCAGGUGAGGAGACGAAUUAACUUCUCCUCGGAGGAUGGGGAUGGCGCAUGCGCAACCCGCACACCUGUAGCGUCCCCCAAAUUCCUGCAGAUACGACCAUAGCCGAAGAAAGUCUUCAGCAACGGUUGCUGAGACUCGAAGAAAGUUUGGAGGCGCAGCGAAAGGAGAUGGAAGGGAGGAGAAUCCUCCGGAAGUUGAAUGUUUGUAAUUUUUGCCAAAAUUAAAAUGUUUUAAAUUUCAACCUGUCUUUUUUCAAUUCUGUUAACGGUUGAAACAGACUGUAGCAAUGUACUCAAAGGAGAAAUGGCCGCGAACGUCAUCCAUAGUGUUAUUUUACUGAAUCCAGAAGAGAAAAAAGCUCUUAAAAAAUACAAAUCUUUUCUCCCCGUAUUAGGCGACAAAAAGACGGCCAAAAAAUAAAAGGAGGUUACUUAAAAAGAAACCAACUCGGCAUCACAACCUUGUUAAAAAUCGUAAAACCUUUCCUGAAAAAAUGUCAUUAAAUAAGACACAUUUCACACUUACAUAUCGAUACUUGAAAAGGAAAAUUAUAUCCAAGUAUACUGAGUAUCUGUUAUGCAUCCAAAUUCAUCGAAUCUGAGGCUAUUAUGGAUCGGAUACCUUAAAUGCUUUAAAUAAAUAUCAACGUAUCAAAUACAUGAUGGAUAUUCAAGGUUGGAAAAAUUUGGUCCUAAUAUGGAUCGGAUACCUUA